Long non-coding RNA from Neltuma alba, 618 nucleotides. RefSeq lists it as uncharacterized. NCBI's taxonomy places the organism in Eukaryota, Viridiplantae, Streptophyta, Magnoliopsida, Fabales, Fabaceae. The transcript has 3 exons. The record is from RefSeq and is a predicted model, not a curated record.
UCAGAAGGUUCCAAGGCUAAGUGUGAAAUUGCUAAGGCUAAUUGAGCCUCAACUACAGAAGGCACUCAACACAAAGGUGGAAGUAUUCCUAAUACUGAGCAUAAGAGGAGACUGGCUUUGGAGUUAGGAGGGGACCCUUCUAUGUUUGAAUUGUUCAAGAGGACAUAUUUAAAUGACAAAAUUGGAAAACUUGCAGACCGAUGAGCGGAAUUAGCUCAUGUGGUAAGAAGAAGAAGGGCCGCAUCUAUGGAUUUGGGUUUGAGGCUGAUGAUGAUAUUUGUACCCAGAGGUCUUCUCCUUCCAUUAACAGCACAAGUAUCAAUACUAGUAUUGAACCUGAAUUGCGCACGAGGAUAACAGAGUUUACACAGGAGAAUCAACAAAUUAGACAAGAGCAUCAAGAGAUGAGACAAAAUUAUAACAAAAUCAUGUCUGCAUUGGAAGGAAUGGGAAUUAGACUAUCUGAGCCCUCUAGCAGCAAUAUAAAUUUAGGAAAUGAUAGUUGACUGUUGUUAUUAUUGUUUCUAGCUUUUACUUCACACUUGACAUUUGACAUUUGAAGCAUUUUAGGUGUGUGAAAGACUAUAUAUCUUUAAUUAUAGCAUGUUUGAUUUUUUG